RNAcentral lists this long non-coding RNA (212 nucleotides) under Fukomys damarensis (Damara mole-rat). RNAcentral describes it as "lncRNA (ENSFDAG00000030337.1)". The record is from RNAcentral. Lineage: Eukaryota; Metazoa; Chordata; Mammalia; Rodentia; Bathyergidae.
AGCAGCCUGGCUGACCCUGUUUGUGACCAAAGGGCAGAAGAACAUCCCAGCCACUGCAAGAGCUACCAGGCAGGCAGCUUCUGGGCAGUGGGCACCCUGCUCAGCACCUUGCACACAGAGGAUGGAGGCUCCAAGCAAUCGGAAAACAGAUCAGCACCACGGAGAGCUCCUUUGGCCGAGGAAAUGAAAGAGGGAUUGUAGUUACCAGAAGC